UUAAGCGACUAAGCGUACACGGUGGAUGCCCUGGCAGUCAGAGGCGAUGAAGGACGUGCUAAUCUGCGAAAAGCGUCGGUAAGGUGAUAUGAACCGUUACAGCCGGCGAUGUCCGAAUGGGGAAACCCAGUGCAAUUCGUUGCACUAUCGUUAACUGAAUACAUAGGUUAACGAGGCGAACCGGGGGAACUGAAACAUCUAAGUACCCCGAGGAAAAGAAAUCAACCGAGAUUCCCCCAGUAGCGGCGAGCGAACGGGGAGCAGCCCAGAGUCUGAAUCAGCUUGUGUGUUAGUGGAACGGUCUGGAAAGUCCGACGGUACAGGGUGAUAGUCCCGUACACCAAAAUGCACAGGUUGUGAACUCGAAGAGUAGGGCGGGACACGUGGUAUCCUGUCUGAAUAUGGGGGGACCAUCCUCCAAGGCUAAAUACUCCUGACUGACCGAUAGUGAACCAGUACCGUGAGGGAAAGGCGAAAAGAACCCCGGCGAGGGGAGUGAAAAAGAACCUGAAACCGUGUACGUACAAGCAGUGGGAGCACCUUCGGGUGUGACUGCGUACCUUUUGUAUAAUGGGUCAGCGACUUAUAUUCUGUAGCAAGGUUAACCGUAUAGGGGAGCCGCAGGGAAACCGAGUCUUAACUGGGCGUUAAGUUGCAGGGUAUAGACCCGAAACCCGGUGAUCUAGCCAUGGGCAGGUUGAAGGUUGGGUAACACUAACUGGAGGACCGAACCGACUAAUGUUGAAAAAUUAGCGGAUGACUUGUGGCUGGGGGUGAAAGGCCAAUCAAACCGGGAGAUAGCUGGUUCUCCCCGAAAGCUAUUUAGGUAGCGCCUCGUGAAUUCAUCUUCGGGGGUAGAGCACUGUUUCGGCUAGGGGGUCAUCCCGACUUACCAACCCGAUGCAAACUACGAAUACCGAAGAAUGUUAUCACGGGAGACACACGGCGGGUGCUAACGUCCGUCGUGAAGAGGGAAACAACCCAGACCGCCAGCUAAGGUCCCAAAGUCAUGGUUAAGUGGGAAACGAUGUGGGAAGGCACAGACAGCCAGGAUGUUGGCUUAGAAGCAGCCAUCAUUUAAAGAAAGCGUAAUAGCUCACUGGUCGAGUCGGCCUGCGCGGAAGAUGUAACGGGGCUAAACCAUGCACCGAAGCUGCGGCAGCGACACGAUGUGUUGUUGGGUAGGGGAGCGUUCUGUAAGCCUGCGAAGGUGGCCUGUGAGGGUUGCUGGAGGUAUCAGAAGUGCGAAUGCUGACAUAAGUAACGAUAAAGCGGGUGAAAAGCCCGCUCGCCGGAAGACCAAGGGUUCCUGUCCAACGUUAAUCGGGGCAGGGUGAGUCGACCCCUAAGGCGAGGCCGAAAGGCGUAGUCGAUGGGAAACAGGUUAAUAUUCCUGUACUUGGUGUUACUGCGAAGGGGGGACGGAGAAGGCUAUGUUAGCCGGGCGACGGUUGUCCCGGUUUAAGCAUGUAGGCUGGUUAUCCAGGCAAAUCCGGAUAAUCAAGGCUGAGGUGUGAUGACGAAGCACUACGGUGCUGAAGUAACAAAUGCCCUGCUUCCAGGAAAAGCCUCUAAGCAUCAGGUAACAUCAAAUCGUACCCCAAACCGACACAGGUGGUCAGGUAGAGAAUACCAAGGCGCUUGAGAGAACUCGGGUGAAGGAACUAGGCAAAAUGGUGCCGUAACUUCGGGAGAAGGCACGCUGGUGUGUAGGUGAAGUCCCUGCGGAUGGAGCUGAGACCAGUCGAAGAUACCAGCUGGCUGCAACUGUUUAUUAAAAACACAGCACUGUGCAAACACGAAAGUGGACGUAUACGGUGUGACGCCUGCCCGGUGCCGGAAGGUUAAUUGAUGGGGUUAUCCGUAAGGAGAAGCUCUUGAUCGAAGCCCCGGUAAACGGCGGCCGUAACUAUAACGGUCCUAAGGUAGCGAAAUUCCUUGUCGGGUAAGUUCCGACCUGCACGAAUGGCGUAAUGAUGGCCAGGCUGUCUCCACCCGAGACUCAGUGAAAUUGAACUCGCUGUGAAGAUGCAGUGUACCCGCGGCAAGACGGAAAGACCCCGUGAACCUUUACUAUAGCUUGACACUGAACAUUGAGCCUUGAUGUGUAGGAUAGGUGGGAGGCUUUGAAGCGUGGACGCCAGUCUGCGUGGAGCCAACCUUGAAAUACCACCCUUUAAUGUUUGAUGUUCUAACGUUGGCCCCUUAUCGGGGUUGCGGACAGUGUCUGGUGGGUAGUUUGACUGGGGCGGUCUCCUCCCAAAGCGUAACGGAGGAGCACGAAGGUUAGCUAAUCCUGGUCGGACAUCAGGAGGUUAGUGCAAUGGCAUAAGCUAGCUUGACUGCGAGCGUGACGGCGCGAGCAGGUGCGAAAGCAGGUCAUAGUGAUCCGGUGGUUCUGAAUGGAAGGGCCAUCGCUCAACGGAUAAAAGGUACUCCGGGGAUAACAGGCUGAUACCGCCCAAGAGUUCAUAUCGACGGCGGUGUUUGGCACCUCGAUGUCGGCUCAUCACAUCCUGGGGCUGAAGUAGGUCCCAAGGGUAUGGCUGUUCGCCAUUUAAAGUGGUACGCGAGCUGGGUUUAGAACGUCGUGAGACAGUUCGGUCCCUAUCUGCCGUGGGCGCUGGAGAAUUGAGGGGGGCUGCUCCUAGUACGAGAGGACCGGAGUGGACGCAUCACUGGUGUUCGGGUUGUCAUGCCAAUGGCACUGCCCGGUAGCUAAAUGCGGAAGAGAUAAGUGCUGAAAGCAUCUAAGCACGAAACUUGCCCCGAGAUGAGUUCUCCCUGAGACUAUAAGUCUCCUGAAGGAACGUUGAAGACGACGACGUUGAUAGGCCGGGUGUGUAAGCGCAGCGAUGCGUUGAGCUAACCGGUACUAAUGAACCGUGAGGCUUAACCUU
This 2900-nucleotide ribosomal RNA is filed under the name Klebsiella quasipneumoniae. RNAcentral's name for it is "23S ribosomal RNA". It matches the Rfam family "Bacterial large subunit ribosomal RNA". The record is from RNAcentral. Lineage: Bacteria; Pseudomonadati; Pseudomonadota; Gammaproteobacteria; Enterobacterales; Enterobacteriaceae.